RNAcentral lists this transfer RNA (90 nucleotides) under Ponticaulis sp. RNAcentral's name for it is "tRNA-Ser". It matches the Rfam family "tRNA". Rfam says of the family: Transfer RNA (tRNA) molecules are approximately 80 nucleotides in length. Their secondary structure includes four short double-helical elements and three loops (D, anti-codon, and T loops). Lineage: Bacteria; Pseudomonadati; Pseudomonadota; Alphaproteobacteria; Hyphomonadales; Hyphomonadaceae. The record is from RNAcentral.
GGAGAGGUGGCCGAGUGGUCGAAGGCGCUCCCCUGCUAAGGGAGUAUACCUUAACAGGUAUCGAGGGUUCGAAUCCCUUCCUCUCCGCCA